UGGAUAAAUCCUUAAUACUUGUCAUCAAAAUGGAUAAAAGGGGAUGUAUCUAGACAUAUUUUAGUUCUAGAUACAUCUUUUUUUAUCCAUUUUGAUGACAAGUAUUUUCGGACGGAGGGAAUACCAC
Non-coding RNA from Triticum aestivum (bread wheat), 127 nucleotides. Lineage: Eukaryota; Viridiplantae; Streptophyta; Magnoliopsida; Poales; Poaceae. The record is from Rfam.